AGAACGAACGCUGGCGGCAUGCCUAACACAUGCAAGUCGAACGCUCUCUUCGGUGGGAGUGGCGCACGGGUGAGUAGCGCGUGGGAACCUGCCCUGUUGUGGGGGAUAACCGAGGGAAACUUCGGCUAAUACCGCAUGCGCCCGGGGAAACCCGGGGAAAGAUUUAUCGCAGCAGGAGGGGCCCGCGUCGGAUUAGGUAGUUGGUAGGGUAACGGCCUACCAAGCCUUUGAUCCGUAGCUGGUCUGAGAGGAUGAUCAGCCACACUGGGACUGAGACACGGCCCAGACUCCUACGGGAGGCAGCAGUGGGGAAUAUUGGACAAUGGGCGCAAGCCUGAUCCAGCAAUGCCGCGUGAGUGAUGAAGGCCUUAGGGUUGUAAAGCUCUUUCGCCCGCGACGAUGAUGACGGUAGCGGGAGAAGAGCCCCGGCUAACUUCGUGCCAGCAGCCGC
Molecule: ribosomal RNA, 451 nt
Filed under: uncultured bacterium
Lineage: Bacteria
Description: SSU rRNA
Rfam family: Bacterial small subunit ribosomal RNA
Source: RNAcentral